UUGGCCUGGUCUUUUACAUUUCCAUAAUCUUUAAGUUUAAUGUCUAAUGUUUAAGACAAUAAUAAUUUUUUUUUUAUAAUGUUAAAUAAAAUAAAAUUAAUAUCAUGUUUUUCACUGCAAGAUUUAACCAUGAACUCUAUUAUCAUGUCACUUCAUUCUUUCCAUUCCUCUUUGAUUGAGAUAUAUGAUGAAUUUUUAGAGUUUAUUUUCCAACAUUUUCAUUCCACAGUCCUUUGAAUGAGUUCCCAUUGAAAAUAUGAACUCGUCAUUUUUAAAAUUGUGGCUUUAGCUUCACCAUCUGUUAUUCACACUUUAUUUCAUAUUGUUGUCUAGUUACAACCAAAAUUUCAAAUUCCCAACUAUGUUUUUCAUGUAGAAAUUAAUUUUUAAUUUUUUUAAGGGGUGGCAGAGAACAUCAAGGAGGCUUCUUAUAGAAGCUAUCAAGAUGAUAGCUAAGAAGAGAGGUGGAGCAAAUAAUACUCCAUGUGAACUUGGCUUCAUGGUCAUGAUAUUGCUGUUCUAGUGGUAUUUGUGGAUCAUGAGCUGGUUACGACUUUCUCCAUACAGGUUUUCAUUGAUGUUGAAUUUUCCUAAUGCCUCUCUUUUGUAGAUGAAGAAAAAAAAAUUGGGGAUACGCAUACAAGCACCUCUACUGAUUAGAGAUGAUCACAAGAAGAGCCUACUAAAAUUCAAUGAUGUUGAUCACAGUGUGAACCUACUAUAAUUCAAUGGUGUGGCCAUAGUGUUUGUUAGGAUUUUUAUUUUAUUUUAUUUUAUUUUUUUAAUAUUUUCUUUGGGCAUCAAAAUUAGAUGGCAGCAGCCCAUACAUGUUUCUUUUUACUUCAUGUCUUUGCGACGUUGAUGGUAAUCAUUUGAUUUUCUGACUUAUAUGAUUCAUGUAAUCCAUUGAUUCCAAGAUGGUUGUAUUGUCAAGAGUCACAACGAUUAUAUGAAGGAAUAUUUGUUGAAGGAGAUGAUAUUGUUUGGAAUAAUAUUCGCGGUUGGUUAUUUUUCGGGCUGAAUGGUGUGAAAGGG
This 1035-nucleotide long non-coding RNA is filed under the name Amborella trichopoda. RNAcentral's name for it is "long non-coding RNA (ATRI_LNC004742)". Lineage: Eukaryota; Viridiplantae; Streptophyta; Magnoliopsida; Amborellales; Amborellaceae. The record is from RNAcentral.